UGGGAAUGGUGGUACACACCUGUAAUCCCAGCAACUUGAGAAACUAAGGCAGAAGAAUGACAAGUUUGAGGCCAGCCUGGGAAACCUAGUGAGACUCAGUCUCAAAAAAUAAAAAGGACUGGAGAUGUACCUCAGUGAUAAAGCAUCCCUGGGUUCAAGCUCCAGGACCAAAACAUUAGCAAACAAAACAAAAUACCAAUGAUAAUCUUCACAGAACUAGAAAAAAACAGUUCUAAAAUUCAUUUGAAAGGAUAAAAGACCUAGAAUAGCCAAAGCAAUUCUAAGCAAAAAAAAAAAAAAAAAAGGAAGAAAGAAAAUAAACAAUGCUGGAGGCACCACAAUCAAUACCUGACUUCAAAUUACACUACAGAGCUGUAGAAACAAAACCUGCAUGGUACUGGCAUAAAAACAGACACACAGACCAAAGGAACAGCCAGAGACAAACUCACACAGAUGCAGUCAACUAAUCCUUGAUAAAGUUUCCAAAAACACACACUGGAAAAAAGACAGCCUUUUUAACAAAUGGUGCUGGGAAAAGUGGUCAUCCACAUGUGGAAGAAUGAGUCUAGACCCUGUCUAUCACCCUGCACAAAGGUCAACUCAAAAUGGAUCAAAGACUUAGGAAACUAGGCACAUCCUAGAGGAAACAUGGGGUCAACUCUCCAACAUACAGACACAGGCAGUGACUUUCUCAACAGGACUUCUAAAGCUCAGGAAAUAAUGCCAAGAGUUAAGAAGUGGGAUGGCAUCAAAUUAAAAAGCUUCUGCACUGCAGAGGAAACAAGAAUGUGGAGAGAGAACAUACAGAAUAGAAUAAGGUCUUUGCUAGCUACUUUUCUGACAGAGGGUUAAUAUCUAGAAUAUACAAAGAACUCAAAAAACUCAGCACCAAAAAUACAAAUAACCCAAUUAAUAGCCAAAUGAACUAAAUAGACACUUCUCAAAUGCAAAUGGCCAAAAAUAUAUGGGGAAAAAUGUUCAACAUCAUUAGCAAUUAGAGAAAUGCAAAUCAAACCUACUCUGAGGGCUGGGGAUGUGGCUCAGGCGGUAGCGCACUCACCUGGCAUGCGUGCAGCCCGGGUUCGAUCCUCAGCACCACAUACAAACAAAAAUGCUAUGUCCACCGAAAACUAAAAAAAUAAAUAUUAAAAUUCUCUCUCUCUCUCUCUCUCUCUCUCUCUCUUAAAAAAAAAAGACUAUUUAUUUAAAAAAAAAAAACCUACCCUGAGAUUUCAUCUCACUCGAGUUAGAAUGGCAGCCAUCAAGAAUACAAACAAUAAUAAAUGCUCAAGGGCUGGGGUUGUGGCUCAGAGGUAGAGCACUUGCCUGGCAUGUACAAGGCACCUGGUUCCAUCCUCAGCACCACAUAAAGUAAAAUAAAGACAUUGUGUCCAUCUAUAACUAAAAAAAUAAAUAUUAAAAUUUUUUUUAAAAGGCUGGGGCUGUAGCUCAGUGGUAGAGUGCUUGUCUAGCAUGCAUGAGGCACUAGGUUCGAUCCUUAGCACCACAUAAAAAUAAACAAAUAAAAUAAAGGCAUCUGUCCAUCUACAACUACAAAAAUUUCUUUAAAUAAAUGCUUGAGAGAAUGUGGAGAGAAAGUAAAACUUUUAUACUGCUGUUCAGAUUGUAAAUUAAUACAAGUAUAGAAAUCAGUAUGGAGGUUCCUCAAGACUAGGAAUGGAAUCAUCAUAUGACCCGGCUGUCCCACUCAGUAGUAUUUAUCCUAAAGCACUGAAGUCAGUGUGCUAUAGCAAUUCAUGCACACCCCUGUUUAUGGCAUCACAAUUCACACAAGACAAGUAAUGGAACCAGCCCAGUGUCAGUCAACAGAUAAGUUAACUUUUAAAAAUGUGAUAUUUAUACACAAUGGAGUUUUACUCGGCCAUAAAAAAAUAACAAAAUUAUGUCAUUUGCUGGUGAAUGAAUGGAACUGGAGAACACCAUGCUAAGUAAAAUAAGCCUGACUCAAAGUCAAGGAUGAUGUUUUCUUCCACAUAUGGAAGUUAGACAGGGAAAAAAAAGAUAAAGAUGAGGAGCACAGGGAUCUCAU
This 2050-nucleotide long non-coding RNA is filed under the name Marmota monax (woodchuck). The stretch from base 1439 to 1507 matches the Rfam family "tRNA". Lineage: Eukaryota; Metazoa; Chordata; Mammalia; Rodentia; Sciuridae. The record is from RNAcentral.